AGAAUCAACGCUGGCGGCGUGCCUAAUACAUGCAAGUCGAACGCGAAAGUCCCGCAAGGGAUGAGUAGAGUGGCAAACGGGUGAGUAACGCGUGGGUGACCUGCCUUCGAGUGGGGGAUAACGUUUCGAAAGGAACGCUAAUACCGCAUGACAUCCUGCUUUUUAACAGGCGGAGAUCAAAGCCGGGGAUCGCAAGACCUGGCGCUUGAAGAGGGGCCCGCGUCCGAUUAGCUAGUUGGUGGGGUAAUGGCUCACCAAGGCAUCGAUC
Molecule: ribosomal RNA, 268 nt
Filed under: uncultured soil bacterium
Lineage: Bacteria
Description: partial 16S ribosomal RNA
Rfam family: Bacterial small subunit ribosomal RNA
Source: RNAcentral